GAAGACAGAGUGAGCUCUGGAGAAAUGAGAGGUUCUACUGGCUUUGAAGAAGCAAGCUGCUAUGAUGUAAACUGACUAUGGAGAAGGCCACGUGACAGGGAAUUGGGUGUAGACUCUAGGAACUGAGGUCUUAAUCCUACAACUGCAAGGGGAUUAAAGUCUACCAACAACCACCUGGGCUUGGAAGAGGACCGCUGAUCUCCAGAUGAGAACGGAGCCUGACCAACACCUUGAGUGCCACCUUGUGAGACUCUGAGCAAAGACCCAGCUAAGCCACACUUAGACUCUUGACGUACAGAAAAUGUGAGAUAAGGAA
Molecule: long non-coding RNA, 316 nt
Filed under: Homo sapiens (human)
Lineage: Eukaryota; Metazoa; Chordata; Mammalia; Primates; Hominidae
Description: HSALNT0258404
Source: RNAcentral